UAUGUACCAGCAGGACCCCUGUUUGAUAUCAAAUGCCCACAGGGCACUCUCUCACAGAUACGCUUCCCACACUGUGAGGUGUUUUCUGGGAAAGGACGUAAGCACCUGUCAGUCAUACACAUCAGUGACUCUGAUGAAUAUGAAAUGCUUGAUCCUCACGAGACAACAGAUUCUUAUGUGGUUUUAAAUAUCAGUGGAUGCUCUAAAUAUGGUCUGACAAAAAGUCAGCCAAAGAAGAAAUACUCCCCCAUCAAUGGACUUGUGCUGCUGUUCCUUCAGGAGUCAACACUGAAUGUCUUACUGUUGCCAAAAAAUGUUGACAUCUCUGAGGUAUAUGAAAAAAGGAAGAAGAUGAAGGAACCUACAGAGGAGAUAUACAUUGAGAUAACUCCAAACUGUAAACUUGUCCCUGAAAACACAUACUACCUCUCCUCUGAUCCAGAAGAACAUGAAGUAACUCCUUUGGUAAAGAAAAAUGAAACCAUAUUAUCAUUCAACCUAUAUAAAUAUAAAAUUACCUAUCAAUGUC
Clupea harengus (Atlantic herring) is the source of this 529-nucleotide long non-coding RNA. RefSeq lists it as uncharacterized. The transcript is spliced from 3 exons. The record is from RefSeq and is a predicted model, not a curated record. Lineage: Eukaryota; Metazoa; Chordata; Actinopteri; Clupeiformes; Clupeidae.